Molecule: transfer RNA, 67 nt
Filed under: Anaxyrus americanus (American toad)
Lineage: Eukaryota; Metazoa; Chordata; Amphibia; Anura; Bufonidae
Description: tRNA-Ser
Source: RNAcentral
GAGCCUGAGUGGUUUAACGAGAACUGCUAAUUACUCGCCACUGUGGUUCAAUUCCACAGCAGGCUCG